UCCCGGGUGGCUCAGAGGUUAAAGCGUCUGCCUGCAAUGCGGGAGACCUGGGUUCAAUCCCUGGGUCGGGAA
Molecule: transfer RNA, 72 nt
Filed under: Bos taurus (domestic cattle)
Lineage: Eukaryota; Metazoa; Chordata; Mammalia; Artiodactyla; Bovidae
Also listed under: 4 other names
Rfam family: tRNA
About the family: Transfer RNA (tRNA) molecules are approximately 80 nucleotides in length. Their secondary structure includes four short double-helical elements and three loops (D, anti-codon, and T loops).
Source: Rfam by way of RNAcentral